Molecule: ribosomal RNA, 253 nt
Filed under: uncultured Acidobacteriota bacterium
Lineage: Bacteria; Pseudomonadati; Acidobacteriota
Description: uncultured Acidobacteria bacterium partial 16S ribosomal RNA
Rfam family: Bacterial small subunit ribosomal RNA
Source: RNAcentral
UACGGAGGGGGCAAGCGUUGUUCGGAAUUAUUGGGCGUAAAGGGCGCGCAGGCGGUGAUAUAAGUCAGACGUGAAAUCCCUCAGCUCAACUGAGGAAUUGCGUUUGAAACUGUAUUGCUUGAGUACAGGAGAGGAGAGUGGAAUUCCCAGUGUAGCGGUGAAAUGCGUAGAUAUUGGGAGGAACACCGGUGGCGAAGGCGGCUCUCUGGACUGUUACUGACGCUGAGGCGCGAAAGCAUGGGGAGCAAACGGG